RNAcentral lists this non-coding RNA (23 nucleotides) under Cricetulus griseus (Chinese hamster). The record is from RNAcentral. Lineage: Eukaryota; Metazoa; Chordata; Mammalia; Rodentia; Cricetidae.
UGGUAGAGCGCGCGCUUCGCAUG